This is a long non-coding RNA of Conger conger (European conger), 501 nucleotides long. RefSeq lists it as uncharacterized. Lineage: Eukaryota; Metazoa; Chordata; Actinopteri; Anguilliformes; Congridae. The record is from RefSeq and is a predicted model, not a curated record. The transcript has 3 exons.
AUACCACCCUGUGACUGAAUAAAUAUAGGGGAAUUAAGGCCGACUGGCCCUCCCCUGACUUUUCCCCCCGUUAAGAAACGCAGAGGUUGGCUGUGGCUCAGCGUUUUUUUCAGCAGUGCAUGACCUUCUUGGAUACAGAUAAGUAAAAUUCACGGGAACGGAAGUCUGUGACCGUCUGAAGUAGCGCUAGCAAAAGAAGAGGUGUUUUACAUAACAGAAAGAAAACGGCAGGAAGAGGAGAAUGAGAGAGAAGAGUGCCUGGAAACUGAAGCCGGACAUGAGUUCAGGAACCUGUCGGCCGUUUGUUGAGGUGUCUUGAAAGAAGAGAGCAAACUGGAUCUAACCGGGACAGAAAGAGAAACGGAAGGCCCAGAUGCACAACUGCGCAAGAGGACAAGAAAAUCAGAGUCUCUGAGUAACAGACCCCUCACAGGUCCUCAACAGAACCUGCUAAACAUCAGUUUCCUCUGCACAGUGAAGAGAUGAGUGCAGGAUGCUGGC